Molecule: non-coding RNA, 270 nt
Organism: Paramuricea clavata
Lineage: Eukaryota; Metazoa; Cnidaria; Anthozoa; Malacalcyonacea; Plexauridae
Source: the annotation of a GenBank genome assembly
GGAGGGAGGGAGGGGGUGGGGGAUACCUAUCUGUAAAAAAUGCAUAUUGUCUAUAUAACGUUCCUAAAACUAAAUUGUCCCAUAGUAUAAUGGCAAAUAUUAUCUGUGGUGUGCGCACUGAUCGAUCUACGGUUAUGUUAAUUAAUUCAGUUGGUGGUUACUGUAGUUUAAGAAAGUACGCAUCGUCAUUUUUAAACUAAUAUCGUAUGUUUUGCUUUUCAUAAUAGUUCACUUGCUACAAACAUAAUAUUUUCAACUACGGGGGGGGGG